UUGUCAGGGAAGAACAAGUACGAUAGUAACUGAUCGUACCUUGACGGUACCUGACCAGAAAGCCACGGCUAACUACGUGCCAGCAGCCGCGGUAAUACGUAGGUGGCAAGCGUUGUCCGGAAUUAUUGGGCGUAAAGCGCUCGCAGGCGGUUCUUUAAGUCUGAUGUGAAAUCUUGCGGCUCAACCGCAAACGUGCAUUGGAAACUGGAGGACUUGAGUGCAGAAGAGGAGAGUGGAAUUCCACGUGUAGCGGUGAAAUGCGUAGAGAUGUGGAGGAACACCAGUGGCGAAGGCGACUCUCUGGUCUGUAACUGACGCUGAGGAGCGAAAGCGUGGGGAGCGAACAGGAUUAGAUACCCUGGUAGUCCACGCCGUAAACGAUGAGUGCUAGGUGUUAGGGGGUUUCCGCCCCUUAGUGCUGAAGUUAACGCAUUAAGCACUCCGCCUGGGGAGUACGGCCGCAAGGCUGAAAUCAA
This 476-nucleotide ribosomal RNA is filed under the name Oceanobacillus aidingensis. RNAcentral's name for it is "bacterial SSU rRNA". It matches the Rfam family "Bacterial small subunit ribosomal RNA", at positions 434 to 904 of the family's 1533-position model. The record is from RNAcentral. Lineage: Bacteria; Bacillati; Bacillota; Bacilli; Caryophanales; Bacillaceae.